UACGGAGGGUGCAAGCGUUGUCCGGAAUCACUGGGCGUAAAGGGCGCGUAGGCGGCUCAUGAAGGCUGUGGUGAAAGUCCGGGGCUCAACCUCGGAUCGGCCGUGGCGACUCGUGGGCUGGAGCACUGUAGAGGCGGGUGGAAUUCCGGGUGUAGCGGUGGAAUGCGUAGAGAUCCGGAAGAACACCAGUGGCGAAGGCGGCCCGCUGGGCAGUGGCUGACGCUGAGGCGCGACAGCGAGGGGAGCAAACAGG
Molecule: ribosomal RNA, 253 nt
Filed under: uncultured bacterium
Lineage: Bacteria
Description: partial 16S ribosomal RNA
Rfam family: Bacterial small subunit ribosomal RNA
Source: RNAcentral